GCCUGAGAGGGUGACCGGCCACACUGGGACUGAGACACGGCCCAGACUCCUACGGGAGGCAGCAGUGGGGAAUAUUGCACAAUGGGCGGAAGCCUGAUGCAGCGACGCCGCGUGAGGGAUGACGGCCUUCGGGUUGUAAACCUCUUUCAGUAGGGAAGAAGCGAAAGUGACGGUACCUGCAGAAGAAGCGCCGGCUAACUACGUGCCAGCAGCCGCGGUAAUACGUAGGGCGCAAGCGUUAUCCGGAUUUAUUGGGCGUAAAGAGCUCGUAGGCGGUUUGUCGCGUCUGCCGUGAAAGUCCGAGGCUCAACCUCGGAUCUGCGGUGGGUACGGGCAGACUAGAGUGAUGUAGGGGAGACUGGAAUUCCUGGUGUAGCGGUGAAAUGCGCAGAUAUCAGGAGGAACACCGAUGGCGAAGGCAGGUCUCUGGGCAUUUACUGACGCUGAGGAGCGAAAGCAUGGGGAGCGAACAGGAUUAGAUACCCUGGUAGUCCAUGCCGUAAACGUUGGGCACUAGGUGUGGGGGACAUUCCACGUUUUCCGCGCCGUAGCUAACGCAUUAAGUGCCCCGCCUGGGGA
This 579-nucleotide ribosomal RNA is filed under the name soil bacterium A36. RNAcentral's name for it is "bacterial SSU rRNA". It matches the Rfam family "Bacterial small subunit ribosomal RNA", at positions 290 to 879 of the family's 1533-position model. RNAcentral also lists the same sequence under 1 other name. The record is from RNAcentral.